AGGUGUAGCGGUGAAAUGCGUAGAGAUCUGGAGGAAUACCGGUGGCGAAGGCGGCCCCCUGGACGAAGACUGACGCUCAGGUGCGAAAGCGUGGGGAGCAAACAGGGUUAGAUACCCUGGUAGUCCACGCCGUAAACGAUGUCGACCUGGAGGUUGUGCCCUUGAGGCGUGGCUUCCGGAGCUAACGCGUUAAGUCGACCGCCAGGGGAGUACGGCCGCAAGGUUAAAACUCAAAUGAAUUGACGGGGGCCCGCACAAGCGGUGGAGCAUGUGGUUUAAUUCGAUGCAACGCGAAGAACCUUACCUGGUCUUGACAUCCACGGAAGUUUUCAGAGAUGAGAAUGUGCCUUCGGGAACCGUGAGACAGGUGCUGCAUGGCUGUCGUCAGCUCGUGUUGUGAAAUGUUGGGUUAAGUCCCGCAACGAGCGCGACCCUUAUCCUUUGUUGCCAGCGGUCCGGCCGGGAACUCAAAGGAGACUGCCAGUGAUAAACUGGAGGAAGGUGGGGAUGACGUCAAGUCAUCAUGGCCCUUACGACCAGGGCUACACACGUGCUACAAUGGCGCAUACAAAGAGAAGCGACCUCGCGAGAGCAAGCGGACCUCAUAAAGUGCGUCGUAGUCCGGAUUGGAGUCUGCAACUCGACUCCAUGAAGUCGGAAUCGCUAGUAAUCGUGGAUCAGAAUGCCACGGUGAAUACGUUCCCGGGCCUUGUACACACCGCCCGUCACACCAUGGGAGUGGGUUGCAAAAGAAGUAGGUAGCUUAACCUUCGGGAGGGCGCUUACCACUUUGUGAUUCAUGACUGGGGUGAAGUCGUAACAAGGUAGCCGUAGCGGCCGC
RNAcentral lists this ribosomal RNA (841 nucleotides) under bacterium enrichment culture clone Ecwsrb064. Its description in RNAcentral is "bacterial SSU rRNA". It matches the Rfam family "Bacterial small subunit ribosomal RNA", at positions 671 to 1512 of the family's 1533-position model. The record is from RNAcentral.